RNAcentral lists this ribosomal RNA (420 nucleotides) under uncultured bacterium. RNAcentral's name for it is "bacterial SSU rRNA". It matches the Rfam family "Bacterial small subunit ribosomal RNA", at positions 359 to 776 of the family's 1533-position model. The record is from RNAcentral.
GAAUAUUGGUCAAUGGACGAAAGUCUGAACCAGCCAUGCCGCGUGCAGGAUGAAUGCCCUAUGGGUUGUAAACUGCUUUUAUUUCGGAAGAAACCCCCCGCCGUGUUGGGGGCUGACGGUACUAAACGAAUAAGGACCGGCUAAAUCCCGUCCAGCAGCCGCGGUAAUACGGAGGGUCCAAGCGUUAUCCGGAUUUAUUGGGUUUAAAGGGUGCGUAGGCGGGAUAAUAAGUCAGAGGUGAAAGCCUACAGCUCAACUGUAGAACUGCCUUUGAUACUGUUGUCCUUGAGUUCGGUUGAAGUGGGCGGAAUAUGACAUGUAGCGGUGAAAUGCAUAGAUAUGUCAUAGAACACCAAUUGCGAAGGCAGCUCACUAAACCGAUACUGACGCUGAGGCACGAAAGCGUGGGGAGCGAACAGG